Molecule: ribosomal RNA, 460 nt
Filed under: uncultured bacterium
Lineage: Bacteria
Description: partial 16S ribosomal RNA
Rfam family: Bacterial small subunit ribosomal RNA
Source: RNAcentral
CCUACGGGAGGCAGCAGUGAGGAAUAUUGGUCAAUGGGCGUAAGCCUGAACCAGCCAAGUCGCGUGAGGGAUGAAGGUUCUAUGGAUCGUAAACCUCUUUUAUAAGGGAAUAAAGUGCGGGACGUGUCCCGUUUUGUAUGUACCUUAUGAAUAAGGAUCGGCUAACUCCGUGCCAGCAGCCGCGGUAAUACGGAGGAUCCGAGCGUUAGCCGGAUUUAUUGGGUUUAACGGGUGCGUAGGCGGCCUUUUAAGUCAGCGGUGAAAGUCUGUGGCUCAACCAUAGAAUUGCCGUUGAAACUGGGGGGCUUGAGUAUGUUUGAGGCAGGCGGAAUGCGUGGUGUAGCGGUGGAAUGCUUAGAUAUCACGCAGAACCCCGAUUGCGAAGGCAGCCUGCCAAGCCAUGACUGACGCUGAGGCACGAAAGCAUGGGGAUCAAACAGGAUUAGAUACCCUAGUAGUC